Molecule: ribosomal RNA, 681 nt
Filed under: Arthrobacter sp.
Lineage: Bacteria; Bacillati; Actinomycetota; Actinomycetes; Micrococcales; Micrococcaceae
Description: bacterial SSU rRNA
Rfam family: Bacterial small subunit ribosomal RNA
Source: RNAcentral
UUUACUCCUACGGGAGGCAGCAGUGGGGAAUAUUGCACAAUGGGCGCAAGCCUGAUGCAGCGACGCCGCGUGAGGGAUGACGGCCUUCGGGUUGUAAACCUCUUUCAGUAGGGAAGAAGCGAAAGUGACGGUACCUGCAGAAGAAGCGCCGGCUAACUACGUGCCAGCAGCCGCGGUAAUACGUAGGGCGCAAGCGUUAUCCGGAAUUAUUGGGCGUAAAGAGCUCGUAGGCGGUUUGUCGCGUCUGCCGUGAAAGUCCGGGGCUCAACUCCGGAUCUGCGGUGGGUACGGGCAGACUAGAGUGAUGUAGGGGAGACUGGAAUUCCUGGUGUAGCGGUGAAAUGCGCAGAUAUCAGGAGGAACACCGAUGGCGAAGGCAGGUCUCUGGGCAUUAACUGACGCUGAGGAGCGAAAGCAUGGGGAGCGAACAGGAUUAGAUACCCUGGUAGUCCAUGCCGUAAACGUUGGGCACUAGGUGUGGGGGACAUUCCACGUUUUCCGCGCCGUAGCUAACGCAUUAAGUGCCCCGCCUGGGGAGUACGGCCGCAAGGCUAAAACUCAAAGGAAUUGACGGGGGCCCGCACAAGCGGCGGAGCAUGCGGAUUAAUUCGAUGCAACGCGAAGAACCUUACCAAGGCUUGACAUGAACCGGACCGCUGCAGAAAUGUGUUUGCCCCUUUG